UAACUUUGCCUUACAUUUCACGCUCUCCUUCCCAUCUUCUUCCUUCAUUCCCAGUCAGAGGAUUGCCAUCGAAACAAGCCCUAUUUGCUCGCCUCUACGAGCUUCUGCAACACUAGAGAAUUGGUGUGGGAGAUCAAGAUAGCUGUUAAAAUGAUAAUAGGUUUUUUAAAUAAUAAAAAUGUUAAAUAUUUCAAAAAUUAAUCAGAAAAAUUAGAAAAAGAGUCCCUAAAUUUGGUUUGUAAAACCCUAAAUCUACUUCAGCAACUACAUCGUUUAUGUUUGCCUCAAAUUCAAUUCACCAACUCAAUAAACUAAAUCCUCAAAUAUGGCCAAAGAUAACAAUGUAAUGAAGUGGAUGAGGCCCUUCCCGAUGCAAUCGACACUCUUUAUCGCCAUCUUCUUGAGCUUUCUCCAUUCAAUUGUUCCAUUUAUUUCUCUACAUUUAUGUGUUUAAUUGUGUUUGAGUUAGGGAUUUUGACUUGAGCUUUUGACCAAGUUUAGUUAUUUUGAUUGCUAUAUUUUUUUAUUGUGCUAAAUUUUCUAAUUAAAUGAAUUAAAAAAAAAUGAAAUGUUUAAAUUUUUUAUUAGUUAAAAAUACUAAGAAAAUAUUAUCUUUUAUUAUUAUUUUCAGACAAUUGGAUUAAAUUGACCCCAAAAUAAUAGUUGCAUUAUAAUUAGAUCAAAAGUUAAUUUUGGGCCUAUUAAACAUUGAUUAAAAGUUCAACGGCCAAAUUGACCUCUAUUCAUAGUAUAUUAGACUAUUGCAAUUGCCAUAGUUCUUGGAAUCACAUGGAUGCAUUUCUUUUGCUUCUUUUUUUAGCCAUCAUUUUUGCAGUUAUGGUUUCUGCUUGUUUGUGGAAUUUAUCUGUUGUAUUUCUGUCUCUAAUGUGAAUUAAUUGUUGUGCACCAGGAAAAAAAAAGAAAAAGAAAGGAAUAUAAAAACUUCAGUUGAUCAUUCAAUUAACUUCCUCUAACUUUAUUUUUCUCCUCUUUAGGUGACUAUACAAAUCCUCAUAGAAGUAGUGGAAAGAUUUGGACCUUACUCCACUAGUUCUAAUGGACAUGGAUCAGUCUGAACCCAAGUACGAGCAUCGUAAAGAGAGGGAUGUUUUAGAUGACUCUUCUAGAAGACAACAUUGGGAUGGAGGGGCAUAUGAUGAAAAUGGCACUGAAAAAUCGAGCAAUUCCAGAGGAGAUAAGGAAUAAGGAUAGGAAGAAAAGCAGCCAUGGAUAAGACAGGGACAGGCAUCAUAGAAACAAGGACAGAGAAGCCUCUAAGAAAACUAGUGGAGAUAUUGCCAAAGAUUUGGAUAACGAGCAAGAUGACUAUGUGGAUAAGGAGGGUGGCAAGGAUAGGAGUAGGGAUAACAGGGCAAAGGAUAAAGACCAUGAUCAGGGAAAAUCUAGAGAUAAGGAGCAUGAGCAUGACAAAGAUAGGAAAAAUCGAGGGAAGGAAACGGAAAGUGAGAGGGAGAGAGAUAUUGAUAAGGAAAGGGGAAGGGAGACGACUAGGGAUAGGGAGAGAGGGAGAGAGAGAAAGAAAAGGAAAGAGUGAAGGAGAGGGAGAGAGAGAAAUAUAAGGAUAGAGAGAAGGAGAGAGAAAUCGAUAAAGGUAGAGAGAGGGAAAAAGCGAGAGAGAAGACUAAGACUAAGGAGAGGGAGAGAGAGAGAGACAGAUCAUGAUUAAGAAAGAUUAGAGAGAGAUAAGAUGAGCAAAAGAAGCCAUGAAGAAGACUAUGAUAGAAGCAAAGAUGAUAUGGUUGAAAUGGGCAUUGGGAAUGGCAAAUAUAUUGAUGGUUUAAAGCAAUCAAAGGUUUCUUUUGAUGAUGAUGAUGAUAAAAAUGUUGAAGGCACAUCUAUUGAAGGAUACUCAUCUACAUUAGAAUUGGAAGAGCGCAUUGUGAAUAAGUAUAAAUGUCCAUUGAUCUUCUAUUCUUUUUUCCCCAUACCUUUUCAAUAUAAAAAUUUUACUGUUAGUUUUUUUUUCUUCUCAUAAUAAAUUGAUGAUGGAUAUGUCUUCCUUGCUUGGAUACUACUAUUACAAGUAGUGGCUAUCUAGUUACUAGUUGCAACCUUUUCAUAGGAAAAAAGAAAGUGCUUGUUGCAUUUGAUGGUUGUCCAUGCUUCAUAUAAAAAGCUUGUUAUCAAUUGCUUAUAAUAAUAACCAUAUAAUUUGCAUGAGAUGACUAAGCAUUUCUAGUGUGUGUGUUUGUUUUUUCUUUUUUUUCACCAUUUCUCUAUUUCUCAUUGUUUAAUUUUGUUAAAAUUUUUAAGUUCAUAUAAGAUUUUGAAAGUUAAUGCAAAAGAGUGUAUGUGUACAUUUGUAAUUGGUAUUAGAAAGAAAGUUUAAAACCAUAUACAAUUAUUUUAGUCUUGUUGAUAUUGAAACAAGUAUCAAAUAUUUAUAAUCUAUAAAUAUACAGAAGUGGAUUUUGAGAGAACUUUUAAAAAGACAUGGGUGACAAAAAAUUUUGAUGUAGACAAAGGACUUCUAAGCAUUAUUAUAUUACAAAAAUUCCCUAAAUAGGCUACAAGUUUUCCUAAUUCUAAUGGUAUUACUGUAAUUGAUUACAGUUUCUUUCACAAAGGAAUAGGAAACUUGCUUUCAUGAUUUGGUUUAAGUAAUGUGAUAUUGAUCUCUGCGCCUUUUUAUUUGUCCAGGAUGAAAGGAUAAAGAAAAAUUCAGAAGUUGGUUUGGAGGUUUUAGGAUGGGCUAAUAGAAGUCAUAAACUUGAGGAGAAAAAGAAUGCUGAAAAGGAGAAAGCUAAGCACCUCUCACAAAUUUUUGAUGAGCAGGUUAUUUAUUCUUAGAAGUGUUUCCUUGUAAUAUGUGUUACCGGCCAUAACUUAUUUUAAUGUGAUUUUAAUUGUUGAUAUUUUGGGACAAUAUUGUUCAAGGAGAGAGUGAAGAGGAGGAGGCAGGUGAGCAUGCUACUCGUAUGAUUUCUUCUCAAUAAUAGCUAGUAUAUAAGAAGUUGAUUUGAAAGCCACAUAGACUUAGAACCACUCAUUUUCAUAUUUUAUUAGAUUAUCCAUGUAGAGCACAAUGCACAAAUGCAAGUGUAGGUGCAAAAGCAUAGUGAGAUAUGGGUCCAGUGCUUUAGGAACCUUCAAGCAUGGCACCUUUAAUAAUACAUUUGCUUUCCACACUUAAGUGUGAGCCUCUUUUGAAGUGCCAGGUGCAAGAGUUAUGUGUUAUUAAAAUUAAUUUAUUUUAUCCUUAAAGAUACUGACUACUGAGGUUCUACUUUGAAAGGGCUAUAAUAUUUAACAUGCACAAAAAUGAUCAAAAUACUAUCCAUAAGACUGCUGGAGCUUGCUUUCUCUUUUCUUUGGCUUUGCAGCUGGUAGGAUUUCCAGCUUUUCUCAAAGCCAAAGCAACUGGUAUUGGAGAUAAGGACACAAGAAAACAAGCCCACUCCAUCCAGAUAGUUAAGCAAGUUUCAAAUUGAAAGCAUCAACUUUACAACCGUAAUUCAAAGAUAUUGACAUUGAUUUAGAUGAAAUAGAUUUAGAAGACAUUGAAGGAUAUCAGACUGUUAGUGAUGAUGAAAAUGUUUUGAGGACUUGGGAGUGAGAAAUAUGAUGAUGACUGGUAGUAUAUUCUAGAAUAUUCAGCUUUAUUCAUGGCAUAAGUAGUUCCUUAUAUUAUUACUGUAUACAGUUUUCAUUUAAUGUGUAUUUGUUAAUACCUUUGAAUUUUUAAUGGUUUCAUGGUUAUAAUUGGUUAGGAUUUGAAAGUAGGAUGUUAGGGAUUAUAAUUUUUCAUACAAUGUUUUAUGGAUGAUUGCAUUAUCUAUUUUCUAAUUAUUGCACUAAUUUUCAACAUAUUAUUUUAUUAACUACUUUUUAGAAAUUCUGCUCCUUGCUUUAAUCAUGUCAGUUCUUUUUUUAGCUCUUUAGUCAAUGGAGAGACGUGUUGCCUUGAAUGCAUGUUUCACUUUUGAUCAACUUCUUGUAGUUGUGUCUGCUUUACUUGUUAAAGAGUCGUUAUGAUAAAUCAAAUGAGCAAACAUAAAUUUUGGGAUGUGUUUAUUGUUGUUAAUGAAUUCAGAUACCUUGUCAUAGCUAAUUUUGGGACUUAGAGAUCAAUAUGGUGGUGCUAAAUUUGGAGUUUGGACUCUAAUUUGAGGUGUGGUUCUUCGGAACUGUCGCUGGGCAGCUCCACAACUGCAAGUGAUUGCAUUAGAGAUUGUAGCAGUCACAAGGAUUUGUUCCUUAAACUUGGGGUCUGACUUGCUGUCACAUACUGAAAACAAGCUUUUCUGUUUCUCCUUUGUUUAGAUGCCCAAGAAACAGAAAGAGUGAAAGACCAACCUAUGGCAGUAAUUAAUGUGUUAAAUUGGUUAUUUGGUUAGGUAGUUCAUCUUAGGCUGUGUUUCUUUGUUCCAUUAUGACCUAUUUUUUAAGUGUAAAAAUUAAUUUGUCACUGCUGAUGUGGUGGAUGUUGAAAAUUUUCGGCUCUGUAAUAAUAUUAAGCCUUAUUUUUAUGAUUUUGGAUUAUUUCCUUGUUUUAACAGAUGACUCCCAAGGAAGCCUUUAGGAUGAUUUCUCAUAAAUUCCAUGGAAAGGGGCCUGGCAAAAUGAAACAAGAAAAGCGCAUGAAGCAAUACCAAGAAGAAUUGAAGUUGAAGCAAAUGAAAAAUUCAGAUACACCAUCACUGUCUGUGGAUCAGAUGAGGAAGCCCAGGUUCAGUUAAAGACACCCUACCUUGUCCUUAGUCAUGUUAAGCCAGGGUUGAGCACUUCUUGGGAAUAAAACGCAAGGUGGAGCAUGGGAAAUAUAACACACAAAAGAAGCCUAAAACAGUUUAUGGAACUUAGAACAGUUACAAGGAGCUGCUUGGAAGUUGUUGCUACUGAUACUUAUUCAAUACCCUUGACCCUGAAAAGUGUGGCAUCCAUUUGUUUGUUCUAUUGGCUGUAAAUAAAAGUUUCAUAAGUCAUAGAAGAGAACCUUCAAAUUUUGUAAGAUGGAUUUGUAGGGUUUUUGGUGGAGAGUGUGAAUGAGAAAUUCUUUGAUAAUUUUGAUGAUUCUUUCGGCUUAGGUAGAGUUUGGUGGCGUGGCCAAUGGAUCGAUCUUGACUGAUUUUGGUGUCGGUCACCUUGGUCAUUAAUUUAAAUUUCAUUUUCUGUAAUUUAAAAAAUAUAAUUAUUUCAUUCACUAUAAUUUUUUUUAAAUAUGUUACGUAACACUUUAUUUGGAUUGAGAAGAAAAGAAGAGAAAGAAAAAGAAAGGAAAGGAAUAAAACUUGGUUGGAAAAAUAGAUUUGACAUGUGGUUGGGAAUUACAGCAAAAAAUUUGAAGUUUUUAUAUAAGAAUGGGGAAAAAAAAGAGGAAAAAGAAACAAAAUGGAAAGAAAAUAAAGAAGAGAAAAGAAAGUUGAAAAUUGUUCAUGGAAAUGUAAAAUCCAAUAAUAUUAUACUUGAUAAAACCUAUGCGGCUAAAUUAGCUGAUUUUGGAUUCGCUACAGUUUAUGAGGUCGAUCCAUUUAUGCCAUUCAACACAAAUGAAGGAAGGUAAGUACCAAAUUAUAUUCAUUUCUCAUUAUCUUUAUUGUCUAAUUCCUAAUUACUAGUGGUCUUAUAAUAUUUGUCGCCAUUGCUAGCAAAAUAAAUUUAAAAAAUGAUUUUGCUUGCUUUUAAACUAACUUUUAAUUAAUUUCUUGUUACAGACAAUAUAUGGCACCCGAGUGUUUAUAUGGAUUUCCUGUAACAGUUCAAGCUGAUGUUUACAACUUUGGGGUGGUCAUGCUUGAAAUUGUUAGUGGGGAAGAGUGUAUGUCUAUGUCAAACCACAAAAUGCAACUUUUAGUACACAAGGCUAUAUCUUUUCACGAAAAGAAAAUGACUUUGGAGUUGAUUGAUAAAAAAUUAAAAAUUCCAAGUGAUGAUCAAGAUCAGGCUAAGGUUAUUUUGGAUCUAGCCAUAAAAUGCAUCAAGCAGACCCCGAUUAUGAGACCUACAAUGUCUUUUAUCGUUAGUGAACUUGAAAGAACCAUUUCAAAGGAGAAAGGAUUCAUGCACGAAAGUAGCUUUGAAAUAGAUACCUGAUGAGGCAAAUUUGGAUGUUUUGUGUAUUUUCAAGAUUGACCACCACAGUUUGCUUAGCAGUUAUGAUUAUAAAUAUCUAAAUUUGAUAUUACAUUGAGCUCCAUUUCGAUGUAUAUGUAAAUUUUAAAAUGACAUGGUGUUUGAAUUUGUUAUUGUGUUUAGAUUUUAUGUUUUAACAUGGAACAUAAAUUUGAAAUGUAAUAGCCACCAGCUCUAGAACCCUUUUGCCCCUCCUUCAAUUACAGCUUUGUGCUGUUGCCACUGUUUUAUUGAAGUGAAGUUGAUGCAAGUGUUAUUGCUAGAUUUCUUUUGAUUAGUUUUACUGAUGAAAAUGAUAUUGCUGUUUGAAAAUAUUUUGCUAGAGGAUGUUUAGAUAUUUUUUUAUUCACCAAAUCUUGUAUCAGAUGGAGUGGAUAUAAAGGAAUGGUGAAGCUUAUUUUGGGG
Molecule: unclassified non-coding RNA, 6498 nt
Filed under: Hevea brasiliensis (rubber tree)
Lineage: Eukaryota; Viridiplantae; Streptophyta; Magnoliopsida; Malpighiales; Euphorbiaceae
Source: RNAcentral